CAGCCGCCGCGGUAAUACCGGCGGCCCGAGUGGCGGUCACUAUUAUUGGGCUUAAAGCGUCCGUAGCCGGGUUGGGAAAUCCUCCGGGAAAUCUGGCCGCUUAACGGUCAGAAUGCCGGAGGAUACUCCCAGCCUAGGGAGCGGGAGAGGCCGAGGGGAUUCCCGGAGUAGGGGGGAAAUCCUAUAAUCCCGGGAGGACCACCUGUGGCGAAGGCGCUCGGCUGGAACGCGUCCGACGGUGAGGGACGAAGGCCAGGGGAGCAAACCGGAUUAGAUACCCGGGUAGUCCUGGCUGUAAACGAUGCGGACUUUGUGUCGGACAAGCUAUGAGCUUGUCCGGUGCCGGAGGGAAACCGUUAAGUCCGCCGCCUGGGGAGUACGGCCGCAAGGCUGAAACUUAAAGGAAUUGGCGGG
This 414-nucleotide ribosomal RNA is filed under the name uncultured microorganism. RNAcentral's name for it is "bacterial SSU rRNA". It matches the Rfam family "Archaeal small subunit ribosomal RNA", at positions 459 to 872 of the family's 1478-position model. The record is from RNAcentral.